RNAcentral lists this ribosomal RNA (458 nucleotides) under uncultured bacterium. RNAcentral's name for it is "partial 16S ribosomal RNA". It matches the Rfam family "Bacterial small subunit ribosomal RNA", at positions 338 to 795 of the family's 1533-position model. The record is from RNAcentral.
CCUACGGGAGGCUGCAGUGGGGAAUAUUGGGCAAUGGGCGCAAGCCUGACCCAGCAACGCCGCGUGAAGGAAGAAGGCUUUCGGGUUGUAAACUUCUUUUCUCAGGGAACAAAGGCGGGGACGUGUCCCCGGAUGAGUGUACCUGAAGAAAAAGCAUCGGCUAACUCCGUGCCAGCAGCCGCGGUAAUACGGAGGAUGCGAGCGUUAUCCGGAUUUAUUGGGUUUAAAGGGUGCGCAGGCGGUCUGUUAAGUCAGCGGUAAAAGCCCGGGGCUCAACCCCGGCCCGCCGUUGAAACUGGCAGUCUCGAGUUGGAGAGAAGUAUGCGGAAUGCGCGGUGUAGCGGUGAAAUGCAUAGAUAUCGCGCAGAACUCCGAUUGCGAAGGCAGCAUGCCGGCUCCACACUGACGCUGAGGCACGAAAGCGUGGGUAUCGAACAGGAUUAGAUACCCCUGUAGUC